Eriocheir sinensis (Chinese mitten crab) is the source of this 2738-nucleotide long non-coding RNA. RefSeq lists it as uncharacterized. Lineage: Eukaryota; Metazoa; Arthropoda; Malacostraca; Decapoda; Varunidae. The transcript is spliced from 3 exons. The record is from RefSeq and is a predicted model, not a curated record.
UAGUAAUAACAAAAAAACACGUUACUAACAUUUAAUCAUCAACUGGAGUACAUCAACCUUUCUACUUCCUCCUCUAUCUUAAGUACUUUCUAGGAACAAGACUGAAUUUUUCUAAGUACACUCAUAAUAAACAAAAGAGUAAUGAUUCACUGUCUUGACAGUGAUAAAAUUAUAUACUAUUCUACAUCAUGCAAUUUGUCUAAAUCAUGCAAUUUGUCUUUCCUGUCCUUCCCUUGCACAGGAUGAGACUUAGAGAUGGAAAGAAAGAAAAUAAGAAAAAAAAUCUACUUCAAUACUGUUCCAUAAUGAUAACCAAAAUAGAUAGGCAGAUAGAUAGAUAGGCAGAUAGAUAGAUAGGCAGAUAGAUAGAUAGAUAGGCAGAUAAAUAGAUAGAUAGAGAAAUAGCUUGAUAAGCAGAUAGGGAGCGAGGGAGAGUUAUGAUAAAAUAUCUUCAAACAUUUAGCAAAAGUACAGAAAUUCAUUAUAUGAUAAAAUAUCAUCAAACAUUUAGCAAAAGUACAGAAAUUCAUUAUAUAACCAUACGAAAUCAUACAAUACUGCAUCUCUUUUUUUUCAUCACUCCCAGGCACGACACUCCAGUUGCACGCUAGAAGUAAACUCUCUAUGCAAAUUCAAAAUACUGUUCAGUAAAUCAAUAUCUAUGAAUGGCUAUUUCAACAUCUUGCAAAAAUCUAUAAUGUUUCCUCCUGCUACUUACUCCUGUAUUAUGUCUACAAGAACUUAAAAAUACUGGUUUAUAAAAAUGCUGAGUGCUUCAAGAUUUACAAAGCACCAGAAAGGGGGAGAGAAUGUGUAUAGUAACUAUGGGCUUGUGUUUCAUCUGCUUCAGGCUUUCGGAUGCACAGCAACUGGCGUGAAGGAAAAAUAUAUCAAUGCUGCGCUGUGUGGACGAUGAAAACAAGAUCAGAAGUUUCAUUAUAACUCUGGACUCUGUGUUUUCUCUGCUUUGGGCCUUCAAGAACACACAAACAGGCUCAUGGAAAAGGAAUAUUAAGUUUGUGUUAUUUUAAAUUCAUCUAUAGGCCUUUGAUCACACACAAACAGGCUCAUGGAAAAGGAAUAUUAAGUUUGUUUUAUUUUAAAUUCAUCUAUAGGCCUUUGAUCACACACACUCACAGUAUCAUGGAAAGGGUUUAAUAUAAAGUCUGUCAUUUCAAACUCAACACUAGACCUUCAAGUAGACACCCAUGAAGAGGCUCAUGGAAAGGGGAUAUGAAGUUUGUCAUUUCAAACAAGUAAAUCUCAAGCCUUUGUUCAGUAUUGACAAAUAAAAACAAAAACAGAAGCAUAAUACAAACACAUUCGACUUCAUAACAGAAUAGAAAAUAAAUACAUGUGUGCUUAUAGACAGUUUCAUGGCAGCGUAGAAAAUUUGAAAUACACAAAUCUCUACAUUGUUAAUAAUACUUGGUUCUUGAGAAAGGUGUAUAAAUGGGUGUAUAGAAUAGACAUCUUUAUAGCAGAAUAGAAAGUAGCAAUACACAAGCCACAAUAUUUCCUUUGAUAAUACUUUCAAUGUCUGGCUAUUAAGGAAGGUAUAAAUGUGGGCACAGGAUAGACAUUUUUAGUGUAGAACAGAAAAUAAAAAUACGCAAGCCUCAACAUUUCCUUCAGUAAUACUUUAAACAUUUGGCUCUGGAGUGAAUUGUGUAAAUAUGCAUAGAAUAAACAUUUCCAUGACUACCAAAAUAAAAAUACUCAAGCCCCAACACUUUUCAUAAUACUUUAAACAUUUGGUUCUCAAGGAAAGUGUGUAAAUGUGCAUAGAAUAAACAUUUCCAUGACUACCAAAACGGAAAAUAAAAAUACUCAAGCCCCAACACUUUUCAUAAUACUUUAGACAUUUGGUUCUCAAGGAAAGUGUGUAAAUGUGCAUAGAAUAAACAUUUUCAUUAUUACCAGAAUAGAAAUAGAAAUACUAAACUAGCCUCAACAGUUUUCAUAAUACUUUAAACAUUUGGUUCUUAGGGAAGGUGUGUAAAUGUGUGCAUAGAACAUAAACAUUUGGUUCUUAGGGAAGGUGUGUAAAUGUGUGCAUAGAACAGACGUCAUCAUUACCAACCUAGCAAAUAGAAAAUAUAUAACAUUUAUUUCAACAAUGCUUCAAACAUCUGAGUCUUGGGGAAAGUAUAUAAAGGUGUGCACAAAAUAAACAUUUCUAUCAUCACCAAAAUGUAUAAUAAAGCACAAACUUCACCACAAACAUUUCUUCAAAACAACACUUUAAACAUCCAGUUCUUUGGGAAAAUCUAUGAAUAUGUGUGGCCACAGAAUAAACACUUCCAUUACUAUCACCAAAAUGAAAUACAAAACACACUUCCCGAACAUCUUUUUCACAAUAUACUUUAAACAUCUUACUCAUGAGGAGGGUAAAUAGAUCAGUGUAAAUGGAGAACCAGGAAUGGGAGACUAAGUACAUAUAUAUAUCAAAUGCCUUGGACAACGCAGUGCUAACCCUCACACCGCCUACUGAGAGCCAGCUGGACACACUGAAGUACGUGAUGUGUCUGGACUUGUCUUCUGCCUUUGGUUAUGGGUUGGAAAGCGUUACAGGAGGAAGUGUGUUAGGAAUGACCCUAAAUUCAGAAUGGAAGCAAAGGUAAUACAAUGAAGUGAGAGGGUCAUGGAGAUGUACACACACACACACACACACACACACACACACACACACACACACACACACACACACACACACACACACACACACACACACACAC